RNAcentral lists this ribosomal RNA (468 nucleotides) under uncultured bacterium. RNAcentral describes it as "partial 16S ribosomal RNA". It matches the Rfam family "Bacterial small subunit ribosomal RNA", at positions 28 to 507 of the family's 1533-position model. The record is from RNAcentral.
GACGAACGCUGGCGGCGUGCUUAACACAUGCAAGUCGAACGGAAAGGCCCUGCUUUUGUGGGGUGCUCGAGUGGCGAACGGGUGAGUAACACGUGAGUAACCUGCCCUUGACUUUGGGAUAACUUCAGGAAACUGGGGCUAAUACCGGAUAGGAGCUCCUGCUGCAUGGUGGGGGUUGGAAAGUUUCGGCGGUUGGGGAUGGACUCGCGGCUUAUCAGCUUGUUGGUGGGGUAGUGGCUUACCAAGGCUUUGACGGGUAGCCGGCCUGAGAGGGUGACCGGCCACAUGGGGACUGAGGUACGGCCCAGAGUCCUACAGGAGGCAGCAGUGGGGAAUAUUGCACAAUGGGCGGGAGCCUGAUGCAGCAACGCCGCGUGCGGGAUGACGGCCUUUGGGUUGUAAACCGCUUUCGCCUGUGACGAAGCGUGAGUGACGGUAAUGGGUAAAGAAGCACCGGCUAACUACGUG